This 29-nucleotide non-coding RNA is filed under the name Rattus norvegicus (Norway rat). The record is from RNAcentral. Lineage: Eukaryota; Metazoa; Chordata; Mammalia; Rodentia; Muridae.
UAGGGAUUUCCUAGUGCAUUCUUGAACUU